CCUACGGGAGGCAGCAGCUAGGAAUUAUGCACAAUGGACGAAAGUCUGAUGCUGCGACAUCGCGUGAAGGAUGAAGGUUUUAGGACUGUAAACUUCUUUUAUCUCCGAACAAGUUCUGAGUGUAGGAGAUGAAUAAGUGCCUGCUAACUGCGUGCCAGAAGCAUCGGUAAUACGUGGGGCACAAGCAUUAUCCGGUUUUACUGGGCGUAAAGAGAAGCGUAGGCGUCUCUCCAAGUCUGAUGUUAAAUCUUCCCGCUUAACGGGAAAAUUGCGUCGGAUACUGGUGAGAUUGAGUCAAGUAGAGAAGAGAGGAAUUCCUGGUGGAGCGGUUAAAUGCGUUGAUAUCAGGAGGAACACCAAUUGCGAAGGCAUCUCUUUGGACUUGUACUGACGCUAAGGCUCGAAAGCGUGGGGAGCAAAACGGAUUAGAUACCCGUGUAGUCCACGCUGUAAACUAUCCCUAUUAGGUGUUUGCUCUGGUCUACGACGGGACGGAGUGAGUGCCGCAGCUAACGCAGUAAAUAGGGCGCCUGGGGAUUACGGCCGCAAGGCUAAAACUCAAUGGAAUUGGCGGGGACCCGCACAAGCAGUGGAGCGCCUGGUUUAAUUCGAUGAUCAGCGAAGAACCUCACCUAGGCUUGAACUGUAGCUGCACAUCCUAAGAAAUUAUGAAAUCCUUCGAGGGUGCUACAGAGGUGCUGCAUGGCUGUUGUCAGCUCGUGUCGUGAGAUGUAGGGUUAAGUCCCACAACGAGCGCAACCCCUAUCUGGUGUUAAAAUUUCUCCAGAGACUGCCCCGUCAUAACGGGGAGGAAGGAGGGGACGACAUCCAGUCAUCAUAUCCCUUAUGUCUAGGGCUACACAGACGCUACAAUGGCUACUACAUGAGAUGCCAAGCCGCGAGGCGAGCUAAUCUCAUCAAAGUAGUCUCAGUUCGGAUGGAG
This 943-nucleotide ribosomal RNA is filed under the name uncultured bacterium. Its description in RNAcentral is "bacterial SSU rRNA". It matches the Rfam family "Bacterial small subunit ribosomal RNA", at positions 338 to 1302 of the family's 1533-position model. The record is from RNAcentral.